This 266-nucleotide ribosomal RNA is filed under the name uncultured bacterium. RNAcentral describes it as "partial 16S ribosomal RNA". It matches the Rfam family "Bacterial small subunit ribosomal RNA", at positions 91 to 349 of the family's 1533-position model. The record is from RNAcentral.
CUUAGUGGCGGACGGGUGAGUAACGCGUGGGUAACCUGCCUCACACUGGGGGAGUAACAGUUAGAAAUAGCUGCUAAUACCGCAUAAGCGCACGGUUCCGCAUGGAACAGUGUGAAAAACUCCGGUGGUGUGAGAUGGACCCGCGUCUGAUUAGCCAGUUGGCGGGGUAACGGCCCACCAAAGCGACGAUCAGUAGCCGGCCUGAGAGGGUGAACGGCCACAUUGGGACUGAGACACGGCCCAGACUCCUACGGGAGGCCAGCAUG